GACGGAGGAUGCAAGUGUUAUCCGGAAUCACUGGGCGUAAAGCGUCUGUAGGUGGUUUAGUAAGUCUAUUGUUAAAUCUUGAGGCUCAACUUCAAAUCAGCGAUGGAAACUGCUAGACUAGAGUGUGGUAGAGGUAAGAGGAAUUUCCAGUGGAGCGGUGAAAUGCGUAGAUAUUGGAAAGAACACCGAUGGCGAAGGCAUCUUACUGGGCCAUAACUGACACUCAGAGACGAAAGCUAGGGUAGCAAAUGGGAUUAGAUACCCCAGUAGUCCUAGCAGUAAACGAUGGAUACUAGAUGUUGCCCGUUCACCGCAGUGUCAAAGCUAACGCGUUAAGUAUCCCGCCUGGGGAGUACACUCGCAAGGGUG
This 369-nucleotide ribosomal RNA is filed under the name uncultured phototrophic eukaryote. RNAcentral's name for it is "SSU rRNA". It matches the Rfam family "Bacterial small subunit ribosomal RNA", at positions 524 to 896 of the family's 1533-position model. The record is from RNAcentral.